GGGUUGUGAGGUUAAGCGACUAAGCGUACACGGUGGAUGCCCUGGCAGUCAGAGGCGAUGAAGGACGUGCUAAUCUGCGAUAAGCGUCGGUAAGGUGAUAUGAACCGUUAUAACCGGCGAUUUCCGAAUGGGGAAACCCAGUGUGAUUCGUCACACUAUCAUUAACUGAAUCCAUAGGUUAAUGAGGCGAACCGGGGGAACUGAAACAUCUAAGUACCCCGAGGAAAAGAAAUCAACCGAGAUUCCCCCAGUAGCGGCGAGCGAACGGGGAGCAGUCCAGAGCCUGAAUCAGUGUGUGUGUUAGUGGAAGCGUCUGGAAAGGCGCGCGAUACAGGGUGACAGCCCCGUACACAAAAAUGCACAUACUGUGAGCUCGAUGAGUAGGGCGGGACACGUGGUAUCCUGUCUGAAUAUGGGGGGACCAUCCUCCAAGGCUAAAUACUCCUGACUGACCGAUAGUGAACCAGUACCGUGAGGGAAAGGCGAAAAGAACCCCGGCGAGGGGAGUGAAAAAGAACCUGAAACCGUGUACGUACAAGCAGUGGGAGCACGCUUAGG
This 558-nucleotide ribosomal RNA is filed under the name Escherichia coli. RNAcentral's name for it is "partial 23S ribosomal RNA". It matches the Rfam family "Bacterial large subunit ribosomal RNA", at positions 1 to 589 of the family's 2925-position model. The record is from RNAcentral. Lineage: Bacteria; Pseudomonadati; Pseudomonadota; Gammaproteobacteria; Enterobacterales; Enterobacteriaceae.